CGACAAGGUUUAGCUUGAUAUUGCUGGCCCUUGCAUUCCGCACUACACAGCACACGACAUAACUCACAAUUUCAUCCUUACACACUUACACCCACACUCAGGCUGCGAAGCCUGAACAGCAAAAUACGUCUAGUGCUUACGCGUUAGUGCAGGCCUACGGGGCGAAAUGUACCUAAUGUGACUGGCAGGGGUUGGCGUGUUCGGAGGGGCUUCCUCACGCCGUCGGUGGUGGCGGUUGUAGGUAAGGUCCCGAGGAUCCCUGUCAGGCCAUCAAGCAGGCGGGUUUCGCACAGCUUUCGCUGACUGCUGCUCAAGAGGGCUCCUCACAUGUCAGGAAUUGUCUGCCGGUGUCUUGCGCCUCCUCUAUGCAUCAACCUCGCGCUGUGCCAUCUGCAAGGACAGAUGGCAGACAUAGAUUAACCUUCGCUUUGGUGUGGUGGAACCACUUCGAUGUUCACAUCCACGUUUGGCAAUAUAUUUCAUCGGCAAAACGGUCGGUCCGAUCCGAAGCAGGGGCGCGAUCACUGUGGUUUGAUUUGCAACCCGGGAACUUCCAGGUAAGCAGCCGUAACAUGGCUUUUUGCAAUCGCAAAAUAUGAAAGAUUCCGAAAUAGGUAUCCCAAACAUCUGAAGUUACAGGCAUCCCGAAGUUACUGUACGGAAAAGGAGGGUUACCUUUUUUCGUUAUCCACCUGAAGUACACGUGCUGCCCGUAAAAUCAGGUUGCAAGUUAGUGAAUCGUCACUUCAAUGAUAGUAUUAUUGUAGUAGAAAUAUUUGUUACAUUUGCAGCCAUUACAGAUGAUCUAUGCGGGCUGAGCAUCGGCCGGUGUACACGGGGCCGGACGUUCUCUCGGGCAACCGAGGAUUUUUGCGUAUCUGACUGGAGGUUUACUGCUGAUCUGAGCCUUGGAAACGACUAUUGAUUCGUGAGUGCUUAUCAGGUAAUGAGGGCUUUCCACGCCUUCCUAGGGUUUACCAGGGUUUGCGGGGAAUUCAAGGAUAUGUGGAGCCUGUAAACAUUAUGAUAUAAAAAUUGUAAAUUUUUGUUGAUAUUUUAGUACUUGCCUAUUGUGGUCAGUUGGAACGCUGCCCUGCCUUCUUUCAUGCAGGCAGCCAGCUAUCUCCCAAUCCUAAUGCUUGCGCAUCAGGUCGGCAGUCUAGAUGCUUGGCUUGAAAGCCCAUAUCCUGGUUGCGGCAUCGGUAUUCCUGCCCUGCAAGUAUGCCAGGGACAGACCCGCUCUCGUUCUAUGCUGGGAGGACCGUCGCGGUCGCUCCCAACACCAGAUUGUGCAACAGCAAGCAUGAAUGCUGUGAGAACAAUUACCUGUAAAAGUACCAGUCAGGAUGCAGCUGGUCAGACGGCUUCGACAACUCCGGCCCCUGAU
This 1387-nucleotide long non-coding RNA is filed under the name Volvox carteri. RNAcentral describes it as "long non-coding RNA (VCAR_LNC002119)". Lineage: Eukaryota; Viridiplantae; Chlorophyta; Chlorophyceae; Chlamydomonadales; Volvocaceae. The record is from RNAcentral.